CCUACGGGUGGCUGCAGUGGGGAAUAUUGGACAAUGGGCGAAAGCCUGAUCCAGCCAUGCCGCGUGUGUGAAGAAGGCCUUCGGGUUGUAAAGCACUUUCAGUGGGGAAGAAAGCCUUGGGGCUAAUACCCUCGAGGAAGGACAUCACCCACAGAAGAAGCACCGGCUAACUCCGUGCCAGCAGCCGCGGUAAUACGGAGGGUGCGAGCGUUAAUCGGAAUUACUGGGCGUAAAGCGCGCGUAGGCGGUCUGAUAAGCCGGUUGUGAAAGCCCCGGGCUCAACCUGGGAACGGCAUCCGGAACUGUCAGGCUAGAGUGCAGGAGAGGAAGGUAGAAUUCCCGGUGUAGCGGUGAAAUGCGUAGAGAUCGGGAGGAAUACCAGUGGCGAAGGCGGCCUUCUGGACUGACACUGACGCUGAGGUGCGAAAGCGUGGGUAGCAAACAGGAUUAAUACCCCAGUAGUC
RNAcentral lists this ribosomal RNA (464 nucleotides) under Vreelandella stevensii. Its description in RNAcentral is "partial 16S ribosomal RNA". It matches the Rfam family "Bacterial small subunit ribosomal RNA", at positions 338 to 795 of the family's 1533-position model. Lineage: Bacteria; Pseudomonadati; Pseudomonadota; Gammaproteobacteria; Oceanospirillales; Halomonadaceae. The record is from RNAcentral.